UCAGGAUGAACGCUGGCGGCGUGCCUAAGGUAUGCAAGUCGAGCGGUAAGGCUUUCACAUUUUGCUUAAACGUUAUAACCCGGUCUCUAGGCUAGAGAUUGGCAGUUUGAGCAAGGCGUGAAAGUACACGAGCGGCGGACGGCUGAGUAACACGUAGGAAUGUACCCCAAAGUGAGGGAUAAGCACCGGAAACGGUGUCUAAUACCGCAUGUGCUCUUCGGAGUAAAGCUUUAUGCGCUUUGGGAACGGCCUGCGCAUGAUUAGCUUGUUGGUGAGGUAAUGGCUCACCAAGGCGACGAUCAUUAGCUGGUCUGAGAGGAUGAUCAGCCAGACUGGGACUGAGACACGGCCCAGACCCCUACGGGGGGCAGCAACUAGGAAUCUUCCACAAUGGACGAAAGUCUGAUGGAGCAACGCCGCGUGCAGGAUGAAGGCUUUCGGGUCGUAAACUGCUUUUUUCUGUGACGAUAAUGACAGUAGCAGACGAAUAAGGAUCGGCUAACUCCGUGCCAGCAGCCGCGGUCAUACGGAGGAUCCAAGCGUUAUCCGGAAUUACUGGGCGUAAAGAGUUGCGUAGGCGGUUAAGUAAGUGGUGUGUGAAAUGAUGAGGCUCAACCUCAUGCCCAUGCACUAAACUGCUUUGACUAGAGAAUGGAAGAGGUCGCUGGAAUUCCUGGUGUAGGGGCGAAAUCCGUAGAUAUCAGGAGGAACACCGAUGGCGUAGGCAGGCGACUGGUCCAUUUCUGACGCUGAGGCACGAAAGCGUGGGGAGCGAUCGGGAUUAGAUACCCCGGUAGUCCACGCCGUAAACGAUGGAUGCUAGCUGUGCGGAGUAUCGACCCUCUGCGUAGCAAAGCUAACGCGUUAAGCAUCCCGCCUGUGGAGUACGAGCGCAAGCUUAAAACAUAAAGGAAUUGA
RNAcentral lists this ribosomal RNA (918 nucleotides) under uncultured bacterium. Its description in RNAcentral is "bacterial SSU rRNA". It matches the Rfam family "Bacterial small subunit ribosomal RNA", at positions 24 to 913 of the family's 1533-position model. The record is from RNAcentral.